Molecule: small RNA, 143 nt
Filed under: Burkholderia cenocepacia J2315
Lineage: Bacteria; Pseudomonadati; Pseudomonadota; Betaproteobacteria; Burkholderiales; Burkholderiaceae
Description: yybP-ykoY element (RF00080) as predicted by Rfam
Rfam family: Manganese Mn2+ riboswitch aptamer (yybP-ykoY) (bases 1-122)
About the family: This RNA was originally discovered in E. coli during a large scale screen and was named SraF. The family was later found to exist upstream of related families of protein genes in many bacteria, including the the yybP and ykoK genes in B. subtilis.
Source: RNAcentral
GCGCCGCUCAUUGGGGAGUAGCCGCUCCGCUCGAUGUCCCGCGCCCCCGGCGCGCAUCGUGACGGAGGCGUCCGUCAACAGACUUGGCCGUUCGGCCAUGGCGGACGCAGCCACGUUGGCCUGGCGAGACCGAUGGUUCACUG